RNAcentral lists this ribosomal RNA (253 nucleotides) under uncultured bacterium. RNAcentral describes it as "partial 16S ribosomal RNA". It matches the Rfam family "Bacterial small subunit ribosomal RNA", at positions 524 to 776 of the family's 1533-position model. The record is from RNAcentral.
UACGUAGGGUGCAAGCGUUAAUCGGAAUUACUGGGCGUAAAGCGUGCGCAGGCGGUUUUUCAAGACAGAUGUGAAAUCCCCGGGCUUAACCUGGGAAUUGCGAUGGAGACUGCAAGGCUUGAAUCUGGCAGAGGGGGGUAGAAUUCCACGUGUAGCAGUGAAAUGCGUAGAGAUGUGGAGGAACACCGAUGGCGAAGGCAGCCCCCUGGGUCAAGAUUGACGCUCAUGCACGAAAGCGUGGGGAGCAAACAGG